CCCUUAGAUGUUCUGGGCCGCACGCGUGCUACACUGAUGCAUUCAACGAGUCUAAAACCUGGUCUGAUAGGGCUGGGUAAUCUUUUGAAAGUGCAUCGUGAUUGGGAUAGAUGAUUGCAAUUCUUCAUCUUCAACGAGGAAUGCCUAGUAAACGCAAGUCAUCAGCUUACAUUGAUUACGUCCCUGCCCUUUGUACACACCGCCCGUCGCUCCUACCGAUUGAAUGAUCCGAUGAAUACCAUGGAUUGAGAGUACGAAUAGGUUCGCUUAUUUCUGCUGCUCGAGAAGUGGAGUAAAUCUUAUCAUUUAGAGGAAGGAGAAGUCGUAACA
Molecule: ribosomal RNA, 330 nt
Filed under: uncultured eukaryote
Lineage: Eukaryota
Description: partial 18S ribosomal RNA
Rfam family: Eukaryotic small subunit ribosomal RNA
Source: RNAcentral